RNAcentral lists this ribosomal RNA (336 nucleotides) under uncultured Antarctic bacterium. RNAcentral's name for it is "bacterial SSU rRNA". It matches the Rfam family "Bacterial small subunit ribosomal RNA", at positions 1052 to 1386 of the family's 1533-position model. The record is from RNAcentral.
UCGUCAGCUCGUGUCGUGAGAUGUUGGGUUAAGUCCCGCAACGAGCGCAACCCUCACUUUUAGUUGUCAUCAUUAAGUUGGGCACUCUGAAAGAACUGCCAGUGAUAAGCUGGAGGAAGGUGGGGAUGACGUCAAGUCCUCAUGGCCCUUACGUGUUGGGCUACACACGUGCUACAAUGGCAUCUACAACAGGAAGCAAAACGGCAACGUUAAGCAAAUCCCGAAAAGAUGCCUCAGUUCGGAUUGCACUCUGCAACUCGAGUGCAUGAAGCUGGAAUUACUAGUAAUCGUGGAUCAGCGUGCCACGGUGACAGCGUACCCGGAUAUUGAACUCCC